Molecule: ribosomal RNA, 253 nt
Filed under: uncultured bacterium
Lineage: Bacteria
Description: partial 16S ribosomal RNA
Rfam family: Bacterial small subunit ribosomal RNA
Source: RNAcentral
UACGUAGGGUGCAAGCGUUAAUCGGAAUUACUGGGCGUAAAGCGUGCGCAGGCGGUUUUGUAAGUCUGUCGUGAAAGCCCCGGGCUCAACCUGGGAAUUGCGAUGGAGACUGCAAGGCUUGACUCUGGCAGAGGGGGGUAGAAUUCCACGUGUAGCAGUGAAAUGCGUAGAGAUGUGGAGGAACACCGAUGGCGAAGGCAGCCCCCUGGGUCAAGAUUGACGCUCAUGCACGAAAGCGUGGGGAGCAAACAGG